RNAcentral lists this ribosomal RNA (253 nucleotides) under uncultured bacterium. RNAcentral's name for it is "partial 16S ribosomal RNA". It matches the Rfam family "Bacterial small subunit ribosomal RNA", at positions 524 to 776 of the family's 1533-position model. The record is from RNAcentral.
UACAGAGGUGGCAAGCGUUGUUCGGAAUUACUGGGCGUAAAGGGCGAGUAGGUGGCCAUCUAAGUCAGACGUGAAAUCCCCCGGCUUAACCUGGGAACUGCGUCUGAUACUGGACGGCUUGAGUAUGGGAGAGGAACGUAGAAUUCCAGGUGUAGCGGUGAAAUGCGUAGAUAUCUGGAGGAACACCGGUGGCGAAAGCGGCAUCCUGGACCGAGAUUGACGCUGAUGCGCGAAAGCCAGGGGAGCAAACGGG